Molecule: ribosomal RNA, 509 nt
Filed under: uncultured bacterium
Lineage: Bacteria
Description: bacterial SSU rRNA
Rfam family: Bacterial small subunit ribosomal RNA
Source: RNAcentral
AGGACGAACGCUGGCGGCGUGCCUAACACAUGCAAGUCGAGCGGGACAUUGCGACGGAGACGAAGUACUCGUACGGAGUCAAAGAUGUAAUGUUCUAGCGGCGGACGGGUGAGUAACGCGUGAGCAACCUGUCCCUUACAGGGGGAUAACACAGCGAAAGUUGUACUAAUACCGCAUAAGACCACGGAGUGACAUCGCUCAGGGGGUCAAAAGGAGCAAUCCGGUAAGGGGUGGGCUCGCGUCCGAUUAGAUAGUUGGUGAGGUAACGGCCCACCAAGUCGACGAUCGGUAGCCGACCUGAGAGGGUGAUCGGCCACAUUGGGACUGAGACACGGCCCAAACUCCUACGGGAGGCAGCAGUGGGGAAUAUUGGGCAAUGGGGGAAACCCUUGACCCAGCAACGCCGCGUGAGGGAAGAAGGUUUUCGGAUCGUAAACCUCUGUCCCAGGUGAAGAGGAAGAGACGGUAGCCUGGGAGGAAGCCCCGGCUAACUACGUGCCAGCAGCUGC